Telopea speciosissima is the source of this 394-nucleotide long non-coding RNA. RefSeq lists it as uncharacterized. The record is from RefSeq and is a predicted model, not a curated record. Lineage: Eukaryota; Viridiplantae; Streptophyta; Magnoliopsida; Proteales; Proteaceae. The transcript is spliced from 2 exons.
CGUUACCAUUGGAGAAGACAGACGCAGCAAUAGAUUUCAGACGAAUAGAGAAGCAAUGGUGAUACUGAAGAAGAGAACUCGAACCCCGGAAGCAUAUGCAAAUUCGAAAGAAGCCCAGAAUGACAAAACCCAAGCCAGUGGUACCCAAGAACAAGAGAGUUCAGGGUACGAGCAGUUUAGAGAUAAAAGGAUUAAAGAGAAUGCAGAAGCUUGGGAUCCACGACCUCUCUCUCAAACUCAAGUUCGGCGUUCCCUCUCCCAAGCGCACUUCCAGAAACACUCCCGAAAGAAAAAUGCCUCACCCUUCUCUACUGCUCCCUUCUGAACCCCAAAGACGUUCUUCCAGAUUACAGAAUGUAGCUCCUAUUAGCUACUCAGAACUCCAUGCAUACAA